This 1420-nucleotide long non-coding RNA is filed under the name Heterocephalus glaber (naked mole-rat). RNAcentral describes it as "lncRNA (ENSHGLG00000043360.1)". Lineage: Eukaryota; Metazoa; Chordata; Mammalia; Rodentia; Bathyergidae. The record is from RNAcentral.
CCUGAGCAAGUAUCCAAGCACUGCAUGCCCUUGUCAGUAUGUCCAGUUACCUUCAUGCCAUGCAAAUGUUAAUCUGCUGGUCAGACUGGCUGCUAUCUGUCACUUAUCUCAGCCCAAGCCCCACAGUGACCAUGGUCAUCUUGCCUUCCUGCCACACCAUGUCUUUCUGGGUGCACUUCGUACAUUUUCUGGCCCACUCCUAGGAUCAGUCUCUUCCCAGGAAGUCCUGGUUCCUCCCCGAGAGUCAGGACCUGGUCGCAGGGCUGCUUUGCGCAUCUGGGUUUGCUGUUGUGUCUGAGUUGUUUCUUGGCCUUGGCUGUCAACACAGUGAAGAAUUACUUUUCUUAUGCCAAAAAGCUCGACUAGUAAUGAUAUUAACAUAAUUGUUUUACAUACGUAAAAAUUUAUAUAUAUAACAUAUAUUGUUUUUAAUAAUGCAUAUUUGUAUAUAAUAUUGUUUUACUGUGUUACAAUAGUUUCCGAGUGACAAGACUACUAAGGCCACUCACCAGGAGGAGUAACCAUUAUGACUGCUGGGGGUCAUUGCUGAGAAUGGUCUAGGAGUUUCAUUACAGAUCCUUUCAUCCUGGGAUAUGGCCCUUUCGGGUAUAUGUCACGUUCCUGUGAUUCAAAGUUAUUGAGACAUUGCUCUAUGGCUAAGUCAUGACCACCUGACCCAGGUCACCAACGGUGAGGAUGCAGCUGUUGUCCUGGAGCCUCUGACUUCCAUCCAAAGGACCCCACGUGCCUUCUGGCCAGCUUCGUGCAGACACACGCUGAGUACAGUGGUCAGCCUGGUGCAAGGCCCCAGAGGAGCAAGUGUGUCCAGGAGGAGACAAGACCAGUGCACAGUGGCGCCUCUUGGCUGAAUGUAUUUAUUCCUGUGACUCAGGCUGCAGUGUUCCUGGCUUGGAAAGAGCCAGGAACUCAGUGAUGAGCUUGCUGCUUCACAUGCUGGGCAUGGGCGGCCUCCAGGCUUGGACUUCCCUUGCAAGAGCAGGGCCUUCUGCCCCUGCCCACCUGGUUGCCAGUGUGGGUGGCUGUGACUAGCCAUGGAUCUUCCCUCUGGGGAUGGCUGUCUCAGCUGCUGGGCUCCAGCUGUCUGCAGGCUUGAUAAAUACCAAAUUGCACGUGUGGGGUUCUUCUUCCCAAGCCCUUGGGCAUGGGGUCUCUGUGCACUUAAGAGCUGGGGACCCACCUGCAUCUCACCCCAUUCCUCCCAGAGCAUGGGUCCCCCUGGGUGGCCGGCCCCUGCCUGCAAAGCCACCUUGUCCAGGAGAUGCUGCUAUGAAUUGCCAGUACUGUGAGGAGGAGGUGAAGGGUAGACCUUGAAAACAGCGCAACGUUAAGAGGAGAAACUGGCACUGCUGUUUGUAAGAGUGCAUUCCUUCCCCUUUCUGUCACUUUAUAGACCAAAAAG